GACGAACGCUGGCGGCGUGCUUAACACAUGCCAGUCGAACGGAAAGGCCCUGCUUUUGUGGGGUGCUCGAGUGGCGAACGGGUGAGUAACACGUGAGUAACCUGCCCUUGACUUUGGGAUAACUUCAGGAAACUGGGGCUAAUACCGGAUAGGAGCUCCUGCUGCAUGGUGGUGGUUGGAAAGUUUCGGCGGUUGGGGAUGGACUCGCGGCUUAUCAGCUUGUUGGUGGGGUAGUGGCUUACCAAGGCUUUGACGGGUAGCCGGCCUGAGAGGGUGACCGGCCACAUUGGGACUGAGAUACGGCCCAGACUCCUACGGGAGGCAGCAGUGGGGAAUAUUGCACAAUGGGCGGGAGCGUGAUGCAGCAACGCCGCGUGCGGGAUGACGGCCUUCGGGUUGUAAACCGCUUUCGCCUGUGACGAAGCGUGAGUGACGGUAAUGGGUAAGGAAGCACCGGCUAACUACGUG
RNAcentral lists this ribosomal RNA (468 nucleotides) under uncultured bacterium. RNAcentral describes it as "partial 16S ribosomal RNA". It matches the Rfam family "Bacterial small subunit ribosomal RNA", at positions 28 to 507 of the family's 1533-position model. The record is from RNAcentral.